This 164-nucleotide small nuclear RNA is filed under the name Jaculus jaculus (lesser Egyptian jerboa). Its description in RNAcentral is "U1 spliceosomal RNA (ENSJJAG00000002014.1)". It matches the Rfam family "U1 spliceosomal RNA". Rfam says of the family: U1 is a small nuclear RNA (snRNA) component of the spliceosome (involved in pre-mRNA splicing). Its 5' end forms complementary base pairs with the 5' splice junction, thus defining the 5' donor site of an intron. The record is from Rfam by way of RNAcentral. Lineage: Eukaryota; Metazoa; Chordata; Mammalia; Rodentia; Dipodidae.
AUACUUACCUGGCAGGGGAGAUACCAUGAUCACGAAGGUGGUUUUCCCAGGGCGAGGCUUAUCCAUUGCACUCCAGAUGUGCUGACCCCUGCGAUUUCCCCAAAUGCGGGAAACUCGACUGCAUAAUUUGUGGUAGUGGGGGACUGCGUUCGCGCCCUCCCCUA